This 253-nucleotide ribosomal RNA is filed under the name uncultured bacterium. RNAcentral's name for it is "partial 16S ribosomal RNA". It matches the Rfam family "Bacterial small subunit ribosomal RNA", at positions 524 to 776 of the family's 1533-position model. The record is from RNAcentral.
UACGUAGGGCGCAAGCGUUGUCCGGAAUUACUGGGCGUAAAGGGCGCGUAGGCGGUCCGAUAAGUCCUGUGUGAAAUCCCUCGGCUCAACUGAGGAACUGCACGGGAGGCUGCCGGGCUUGAGUUCGGGAGAGGGAAGCGGAAUUCCGGGUGUAGCGGUGAAAUGCGUAGAUAUCCGGAGGAACACCGGUGGCGAAGGCGGCUUCCUGGACCGACACUGACGCUGAGGCGCGAAAGCGAGGGGAGCAAACGGG